Molecule: non-coding RNA, 3411 nt
Organism: Chlorocebus sabaeus (green monkey)
Lineage: Eukaryota; Metazoa; Chordata; Mammalia; Primates; Cercopithecidae
Source: RefSeq, a predicted model, not a curated record
ACAACAGUGAAGCUCUGUCUCAAAAAAAGAAAAGAAGAGAGGAGAAGAGAGAAGAGGAGAGGAGAAAAAGAGAAGAGAAGAAGAGAAGAGAAGCGAAGCAAAGCUGUGGCCUGUAAUGAAAGGAAGUAGAGAAGUGGCUGGCAGAGGAAGCAGAUUAAGAAGCUGCCGGAGAGUAUCCUGAAUACCUGAAGAAGAUGACUGAGGAAAAUGGCAAUUUGCUUGAGCAGGUUGUCAGUGCUGCUGAAACUCUGGAAGCAAAUGCCUACUUGCACAUCUAUUGCAAAGCAUGAGAAAAGGACCAGAGGCUUCAAGCCUGGAAAAGACAAACUCGAAGUUCUGCUUUGUUCCAGUGUGUUCCGAUUAAACAGAGUCCAAAAUUGUUGCCUUUUUACAAGAGAAGGCCAGAAACACUUUUCUGUCUACAUGAAGGGAAACCAUAAAAUAUGGAUCACUGAGAAACUCUUUUUGAACUGGUCUUUGAAGUGUUUUGUUCUGAGGUUAAAUAAUAUUUAAAUGAAUAAAAAAUCUUGACUUCACAGUGUUGCUGAUUCUGGACACUGCUCCUACAGACAAAAAUGCAGUCAUAAAUGCUGCUCCUUGUGUUCAAGUCAUCUCCAUUACCCCCAGUACGACUCCACUCCUUCAACUCAUGCAUCUGAGAGUGCUAAAGUUUCUGAUGUACUACGCUCGGCCUGUAUUUCGACUACCCGCAGAUCUUAUCAGAGACACCAGAACUUUACUGUGAAAGUGGCUUGGCAAAAUUUCUCCAUUUGUAAUGCUUUAACAGGUGUAGAAGAAUCAGUGAGACAAAUAAAACAAUCAACACUUAAUGAAGUCUGGCAGAAAUUUUGGAAUGAGGUUGUGACUGAUUCGGAAGGUUUCCUUCCAGUGGUAGAAGAAAUUGAAAAUAUUGUAACAUCUGCAAACCAUUUGAAUAGUGAAGGCCUCAAAGACAUUGAGUUAAUUGACAUUACUGAAUUGUUAGACUCUCACCGUCAAAAGAUAGUUUAGAAAUAUUUUGGAGAUGUGAUCACAUCAAAAGGCAAUAAAAGAAGCCAGCAUACGUUAACAUCCAGAACUCUAAGAAUGUUCAAGUAUCUACUCCACAAAUGAAAUUGUCACAGUGAUUCAAAAGAAAGAGGUCCUUUGGUGGACUACAUAUUGACUUUCAGGGGAGAAGAGGUUGACAUUAGGACAUGUCAUUCAAACCCGUUCUGCAAACAGAAAAACAGGAAGUAGAUACGCCGCACACAGAUGGUUAAACCUUGGGAUUCAGACUCUGAUGGCUCUGAUGAUGUGGUGAUUUGUGUGCUGGGAAUGAAAGAGGAGCAGAAGACAGAGCUUACAUCUCUUCAGACGAAAUGCGAUUUUCUCUAUUCUUUCCCUGUUACUACUGUUAUGACCAAGCAUUUUCAUUGAUGCGUUAUCAUCUUCAUCUUGAGAUCACAAAGGAAGUUAAUUGCCUGAUAUCCACUAUUGCUAAUAUAAAAUAUCAUUGAUAUUUAUUUUAUUGUUUUAUUUUGGUGAACAAACUAAUUAUCUGGGCUUUCGUAAUACUCACAUCCCUGCCUCAUUUUUUCCUAAAAGGUCUUAAAUUCCUACAACACGGAUACUCUGAGAGUUUCAGAAACUCAACUAUGGCAUUUAAGGAGUGUGCUGCUACUGUACUUGGCUGGAUGAUUUGAUUUUGUACUCUUGAUCUGAAAUUUGUUUUAAUUCUGAUUAAGCCUAACUUGUGAUCUCACCAGAAAGGAUUAGUUUGGUAUACGUUAAAUUAAUUUGUUUUGCAGCAGUUGUAUAUGUUAGCUAUUGGCUGAUCCUGAAAAACAGUAUAUUUAUGUUAAAUUUCCAGAUUUCCUUUGGUAGCUAAUCAAGGAGGAACAGUUGCUAGAGUUCAUUUUCAUAGAUUCUUUCUGUUCUCAUAUCUGGCCUCCCCAGUGAUUCGAAGAGUUGAAUAUCCUCCAAAAAAACAAAAACAAAAACAAAAACAAAACAGAUAUAUUACUUCCUGUUCUCUGAUGGUGAUGGAGACAUCAUUCUCAGAUUGUUUUUAAAUUCCCUCCAUAAUUCCUUAUAUUUACUUUAUUUGAUUCAAUUGUGUUACACAAGUUAUUGUUAUGGUUGUUUUAAUUUUGGAUGUUUGGAAUUUUCCAGGCAGAUUUGACAGAGGGGAAAAAAAAUCACAAAGCCAGAGAUAUGACGCUGUUAUCUUGUUCUAAGGAUUUUGAGCAAAGACAUAGGAUGAACCUGCCUGUUCUUUUGGCUGCUUGUACACAUUCCCAACUGAUGUCCAUUUUGAACUCAGUUGGACAGUUAUUCUGGGGAAUAGAGAGGAAGUCCAAAUAACAAUGCUGUUGUUUCUGUCUUAAUUGCUAUUUGUGCCGGAUUCACAGCACUGACCUCAUCAUUAUAUCUGAUAAUGAUGCACAGAAAACCUGAAUAGAGAAAAGAAGAAAGAUAGUUCAUUGGCAUGUGCUUGCCAAAAAGAGACUUUAUAUAACUUGAGAAAACAUAAAGACAACCUAGAAUGAGGAAAUGUAUGUACAGUAAUGAAAAAAAAUGCUUUAAACAGCAGUGUCAAAAACUGACAUUGGAGAGUAAAUUGAAUUUGGUUUUGUAGGAAGCAGGAAACAAGCCUACUCAACAUGAAAUUUGGCGUAAGGGAGUCCAGUAACUUUCUCCUCAGUCUGUGAACUAUACGUGAGUUUGAUAUUUUGAAGGAAAAGGAACAAAAAAGUUUAAAAGGACUUUUGCACAGCAAAUGAAACUAGCAUCAGAAUGAACAGGCAACCUAAAGAAUGGGAGAAAAAUUUUGCAAUCCACCCAUCUGACAAAGGUCUAAUAUCCAGAAUCUGCAAGGAGCUUAAACAAAUUUACAAGAAAAAACAACCCCAUCAAAAAGUGGGCAAAGGAUAUGAACAGACACUUCUCAAAAGAAGACACUUAUGCAGCCAACAAACAUGAGAAAAAGCUCAUGAUCACUGAUCAUUAGCGAAACGCAAAUCAAAACCACAAUGCGAGCCAGACCGGGGUCUGGUGCGGAGAGCCCCUCAUCCUGGAAAACGGGCCUUGGCCAGAAAGGCAGCCACCCCCUUGCGCAUCAUGCAACACACGUUUGUGAAGAACUUGGCGCUAAACCAUUCCUAGACAACCGACUUCUGAGUCGGGGUUUCGUGAGUAGCAGAGCAACUUCUUCACUGCCAUCUGUUGACAGUGAGCCCUCCACACAAGGGUUUGUCUGCCUGCGUGCUCGGGGGACCGUUGGACCAGUGGUGUCGUCUGUCCCUAUUCCUUCCUUUCUCCCGCCACCCGCUGGGGUCCUCCUUACCCCAGCCUGCGCAUGCCCACCUACUCUGGGUGUGUCUCACGCUGGCCUGUCCACACCUGCCGCGCGUCAGGCCAGUCAGAAUG